Molecule: ribosomal RNA, 484 nt
Filed under: uncultured bacterium
Lineage: Bacteria
Description: partial 16S ribosomal RNA
Rfam family: Bacterial small subunit ribosomal RNA
Source: RNAcentral
AUUGAACGCUGGCGGCAGGCCUAACACAUGCAAGUCGAGCGGAUGAAGGGAGCUUGCUCCUGGAUUCAGCGCCGGACGGGUGAGUAAUCCCUAGGAAUCUGCCUGGUAGUGGGGGAUAACGUCCGGAAACGGCCGCUAAUACCGCAUACGUCCUGAGGAAGAAAGUGGGGGAUCUUCGGACCUCACGCUAUCAGAUGAGCCUAGGUCGGAUUAGCUAGUUGGUGGGGUAAAGGCCUACCAAGGCGACGAUCCGUAACUGGUCUGAGAGGAUGAUCAGUCACACUGGAACUGAGACACGGUCCAGACUCCUACGGGAGGCAGCAGUGGGGAAUAUUGGACAAUGGGCGAAAGCCUGAUCCAGCCAUGCCGCGUGUGUGAAGAAGGUCUUCGGAUUGUAAAGCACUUUAAGUUGGGAGGAAGGGCAGUAAGUUAAUACCUUGCUGUUUUGACGUUACCAACAGAAUAAGCACCGGCUAACUUCGUG